UACGAAGGGUGCAAGCGUUACUCGGAAUUACUGGGCGUAAAGCGUGCGUAGGUGGUGAGUUAAGUCUGGCGUGAAAGCCCCGGGCUCAACCUGGGAACGGCGCUUGGGACGGCGAGGCUGGAGUUCGGGAGAGGAGAGUGGAAUUCCCAGUGUAGAGGUGAAAUUCGUAGAUAUUGGGAAGAACACCAGUGGCGAAGGCGGCUGCUUGGGCCAGUUCUGACGCUGAGGCGCGAAAGCGUGGGGAGCGAACAGG
RNAcentral lists this ribosomal RNA (253 nucleotides) under uncultured bacterium. RNAcentral describes it as "partial 16S ribosomal RNA". It matches the Rfam family "Bacterial small subunit ribosomal RNA", at positions 524 to 776 of the family's 1533-position model. The record is from RNAcentral.